ACACAUGCAAGUCGGACGGCAGCACAGAGAAGCUUGCUUCUUGGGUGGCGAGUGGCGAACGGGUGAGUAACAUAUCGGAACGUACCGAGCAGUGGGGGAUAACUAAUCGAAAGAUUAGCUAAUACCGCAUAUAUUCUGAGGAAGAAAGCAGGGGACCAUUUGGCCUUGCGCUGUUUGAGCGGCCGAUAUCUGAUUAGCUAGUUGGUGGGGUAAAGGCCUACCAAGGCGACGAUCAGUAGCGGGUCUGAGAGGAUGAUCCGCCACACUGGGACUGAGACACGGCCCAGACUCCUACGGGAGGCAGCAGUGGGGAAUUUUGGACAAUGGGCGCAAGCCUGAUCCAGCCAUGCCGCGUGUCUGAAGAAGGCCUUCGGGUUGUAAAGGACUUUUGUCAGGGAAGAAAAGGGCGGGGUUAAUACCCCUGUCUGAUGACGGUACCUGAAGAAUAAGCACCGGCUAACUAC
This 464-nucleotide ribosomal RNA is filed under the name uncultured bacterium. Its description in RNAcentral is "bacterial SSU rRNA". It matches the Rfam family "Bacterial small subunit ribosomal RNA", at positions 51 to 504 of the family's 1533-position model. The record is from RNAcentral.